CCCUUAGAUGUUCUGGGCUGCACGCGUGCUACACUGAUAUUGCCAAUAUGUCAUUCUUAUCCGAAAUGGAUUGGGUAAUCAAGUAAUGAAAUUUCAUGCUUGGAAUCGGUAAUUGCAAUUUUAUCGUGAACGAGGAAUUCCUAGUAAGCACUAGUCAUCAGCUAAUGUUGAUUAUGUCCCUGCCCUUUGUACACACCGCCCGUCGCUACUACUGAUUGGGUGUUCAAGUGAGAUGCUUAGACCCUUGUUGCAUGGUUCAUUAUUGUGCUCCGAAAGGAAAAAGUUUCAAGCUUAAGUGUCUAGAGGAAGUAAAAGUCGUAACA
RNAcentral lists this ribosomal RNA (323 nucleotides) under uncultured eukaryote. RNAcentral's name for it is "partial 18S ribosomal RNA". It matches the Rfam family "Eukaryotic small subunit ribosomal RNA", at positions 1470 to 1796 of the family's 1831-position model. The record is from RNAcentral.